This 497-nucleotide ribosomal RNA is filed under the name uncultured bacterium. RNAcentral's name for it is "partial 16S ribosomal RNA". It matches the Rfam family "Bacterial small subunit ribosomal RNA", at positions 28 to 507 of the family's 1533-position model. The record is from RNAcentral.
GAUGAACGCUGGCGGCGUGCCUAAUACAUGCAAGUCGAGCGAACAGACGAGGAGCUUGCUCCUCUGACGUUAGCGGCGGACGGGUGAGUAACACGUGGAUAACCUACCUAUAAGACUGGGAUAACUUCGGGAAACCGGAGCUAAUACCGGAUAAUAUCUUGAACCGUAUGGUUCAAUAGUGAAAGACGGUUUUGCUGUCACUUAUAGCUGGAUCUCCGCCGCAUUAGCUAGUUGGUAAGGUAACGGCCUACCAAGGCAACGAUGCGUAGCCGACGUGAGAGGGUGAUCGGCCACACUGGAACUGAGACACGGUCCAGACUCCUACGGGAGGCAGCAGUAGGGAAUCUUCCGCAAUGGGCGAAAGCCUGACGGAGCAACGCCGCGUGAGUGAUGAAGGUCUUCGGAUCGUAAAACUCUGUUAUUAGGGAAGAACAAAUGUGUAAGUAACUAUGCACGUCUUGACGGUACCUAAUCAGAAAGCCACGGCUAACUACGUG